Molecule: non-coding RNA, 4701 nt
Organism: Phalacrocorax carbo (great cormorant)
Lineage: Eukaryota; Metazoa; Chordata; Aves; Suliformes; Phalacrocoracidae
Source: RefSeq, a predicted model, not a curated record
ACGCCACCUCAACUGAGGCACGUUCGGUAAGAUGUCUGAAGGGCCAGCGACGGAGAAGAGAUAUCCCGCUCCCGCUGGGGGACUUACCAGUUACAGCCAUUGCUGGCAACUUUCUGCUGAUCACAGGAUGCCCUUCUGACAGUGGGAACUACAGGGUGAACAGAGGUGGCACCUCUCACUAAUGUAACAAAGCAGUAGUAAUACAUCACUCUUGAGACUUGCUGCCUUUAUGUGCUUCUCUAAAUGAAGGGUGACUGGAAGAGAAUCUAAAGGAGAACAUCAAGAACAAGCAGAGAUUUUGGAAGUGUUUCCUAUGAGACUAGAGUACUGGGAAAGAACUGGGAAUUAUAUCUUCUAGAGCUGAUUGAGGGGAAAAUGGAACCCAUAUGUAGACAGUUACUGCAAAGAGGAUGUGGUGAUGGGAGAAGUGAUUGGUUUGCACUGCAGCAAGGGAGGUUUAGGUCAGGCACUGGAAAAUACUUUAAUGGUAAGGAUAAUAAAGCAUGGAAAGACAUCGCUACCAGAAGUGGUAAAACUUCUGUGAGAAAAUUUCUGUGACCAAUUAAGGAGAGUUGGCAAGAGAAAAUAGCCUUAAAUUGUCCUUGUGUAACACGUGACCAUAUAUGGGUAAAAAGUGUUAGGGUAUUUCAUCUCUAAAGACCACCAAGGACCCCCAAAGAGAGGGAGGCAUGCACAGAAGAAUCUGAAGCAGAGCCAAGAAGAGUGACUUAAUGCCAUUAUGCAACCUAUGUAGAUUAGAAUGAAUAUGUAUUAGAUAGGCAGAAUAUGUAUGGACAAAUCUGCUUUUCAGACACCAAAUUUUGGUGACCCAGAUGGGACAGCUGUGAAGCCUUGCCCGGAUCAUCUUGCCAGUUGUCGGUGGGGAAAAGCUGCUCUUUGGACUCCAAGCGCUCACCGACCUGUUGUUCAGAGGACUCCAUGAGUAAUCUCCCCAUCUAGAGUGAGUAAGCGACUCAAAGGUGCAACACAUGACAAAAAGACGUUGCAUGAAGCAAUAGGUAAAGAUAAAUGUUUAAGUCUUGUGCGUUUUUGGGUAGCGAUGACUGGAGUGCAUGAAGCAAUAGGUAAAGGUAAAACAGUAAAAGUGUUUUUUAAACUUUGUGUAUGGAUGGUGACAACUGGAGUGUGUGAAAGUGUGGUUGGUAAAAAUGUUCUUUUUGGAUAACAUUAUGGGAGCAGGACAAUCUGCGGAGGUUUCCCCUUGCUCCCCAUUAGGAUGCAUCUUGAAACAUUAGAAUAAGUAUGGUGGGGAUCCUCUAACAAAAAGGAAAUUAAAAGAAUAUUGUGCUCAAUGGUGGCCAAAGUAUAAAUUGGAGGAUGAGGAAAAAUGUCCAGAAAUGGGGUCUUUGAAUUAAAAUACAGUCUUACAACGUAUGUUGUUUUGCAACAGGCAGGAUAAAUGGGAUGAAAUCCCGUAUAUGGAUUUCUUUACUUUAAGAAAUUAUCAUGAAACAAGGAAGAAAUGUUAAUCGAUGAUAUCUGAUUUGAAUGUACUAAUGAUGAUGGAUGACAUGAAAAAAAAAAGCCUUCGUGGUGGUGUUCUGCUUGUAGCUUAGGAAAAAGAUGUUUAAAACUGGAAGAUGAGGCAAAUAAAAUGACUUUUACCACCUUGUUUGUAGGACAGUUGGCACCUGAUAUUAGGAGGAAAUUACACAAAGUAUAUGGAAUGUUGGGAAUGACCAUAUCUCAGUUAAUUGAAAUUGCAUAUAAAGUCUGUAAUAAUAGGAAGUUGAAAAGAAAGAAAGUGAAAAAGAAAAAUUAAAAGCUAGAAGACAAAAAGAAAUUUCUAGUUGACACAGGAGCAACCUACUCUGUAUUGAAUAGUUGCAAGGCACCCAUGAGUAAAUAUUAUAUGGCCAUGGUUGGCGCAAUGGGAAAGCAGGAGGUUAGACCCUUUUUCCAACUGACUAAAUGUAAAAUUGGCAACAAGAUGUUUGAACAUGAAUUUUUAUACAUGCCAGAAUGCCUGAUACCUCUAAGGGGAAGGGACUUGUUAAAUAAAUUAGGGGCGCAGAUAAGCUUUGACAAAAAUAAAAUAAGAGUCUAUAUCCCGCAAAAUAAUGCCUGGGAAGCACAAAUACAUAUAUUACAGGAAUUGCUUGAGACAGUGGAAGACAAGGAGAAGGAGGGACCAAGUAACCCGUUUUCAGAGAUAGAAAAUGCUGUAACCCCUUUUGUAUGGGCAACCAAGAGACCUGGAAGAGCCAAAUCGGCCAAACUGGUAAAAAUAUAAUUAAAGCAGGAAGAUAAACCGGUAAGAUGAAAACAAUAUCCCAUAAAAAUGGAGGCCUGUAUUGGACUGGAGCCUAUAACUAAUAACUUUCUAACUGUUACAAGAAUGUCAAUCAGGAUAUAGUAUUCCGAUUUUGCCUGUUAAAAAGCUCCAUUCACAGGAAUACUGUUUAGAAUGAAUAUGUAUUCUAUAAGCAGAAUAUGUAUGGACUUAUUGUAGAAAUAUAAUUAGGUAGCCGGCUUCAGUGUGCUUGAUUUGUGGAAAACCACCGAGCACCCAGCCUUGCACAACCCUGAAAUAAAUUAGCAAUGUCUCUCCUGAGUGUGUGAUUAUUGAUCAUUACAUACUGGGUGAUGAACCCGCCCAGUUCCAAUCCAACAGUUCCAAAAAGUAAAGUGAGCUUCUUCAGAGAAGCGUGAGUGUAUCUGCAGUUGAAUCCUGUUGCAAAAAUUAUUUCUGGAAAACUUGUAUGAAAAAUAAUCAAUCUUGGACUUUUGUUAAUUAGGGUUUGACCCUGAGACAUGCUGAGCACAAUAUUUAAUCAUCUAUUGUUUGUUAGUGCAAUUUACUGAGUUUGAAUAUUUUAACCUAUGAAUACCACCUGCCAAAUUCAAGGUUUUACAGCACUAGCAGUCAACAAACUCUGAAGAUGGAAUUGACAUAAAAUUGAUUUGUUCAUUAGCAGAUACUAGCAAAAUGACAAUUCAAAACCUAAAGGAGCAAUACCAGUGAACAUGCCUAUUUCCAAACAUAUCUGAAAGGAAUUAGUAGGGUGUGGUUUUUUUUCAGAACUGUGUAGUCAACCAUAUAGAUACAAGUUUUCCAGAAGCAUUAUGUUGGAAAACAACUUGAGGGACAGGCAUACUUUAGUAUAACUUUUAGUCAUACCGCUUUAAUUUCUGGUCUCAUCAGUUAAAAAGAUUCUGGGAAAGAUAAUACUUGUAUAGAAGUUCUGUAGAAAGCAGUGCUAUUCAUUCAGCAGCAAUACAUAGGAACAGUAUGACCAGUGUUCCUGCAUCAUGGUUUGAAUGACCUAAACACUGGAUGUUUUAUAAAAGGUGCCCUAAAGCUAAGAGACCUAGCAGUAUAUCAGUUAUUGAGGCAAUCUAAGCGAUUUUGCCACAUUAUAAUAGUUUCAUUCAGUAAGAGAACAAAGUGGGUGGUGUGUUUUUUCUCCUCCUGCUCCUUUUUAAUAACCUUAGGUGAAAGGCAACUGACUUCUGUUUAUUAGCAAGAAGGUAGUUGUACUAAUCUUCAGGGUUUUACUGCUGUAAGGUGCCCAGAUAGCUCUGUUUAAGAAGCUUAAUUACAGAAUAAAUAUUACUCUUCUAAUUAAAGUUGAGAAUCAGAGAUAAAGCAUUCAAUAUCUCUGAAAGUACUCAAAGAGACUACCUUACUCAUACUGUGUUAUGUUUCAACAUUCAGUCUUCCAUGGUACAAGGCUGUUAAUGAGGGCAUACACAAACUCUCAUUUUGGCAAGACAUAGGACAGUUAGCAGCAGGAAAGCAAAACAUUGUAACAUGUAUAGCUUCAUGUUAAUACCACAUCCUUACUCUGGAGUAAUAAAUAUCUGUGGAGAAAAGCCUCACAUAAAAAUAUGGACCACUUUGACUCAGGAUACUCAUACAAUAAUGAAAAUGCUCCCAAGUGCUACAAAAUUCCUUUAUUGGCCAUAGCUAGAAAUUUAGAAUCAGAUGCCAUAAUAGAUAAAAAUUCUGCUUAGUUCAAUAGGACAAAUGAUGUGACAAAAGUCUUCUACUUCACUGACAGAAUAGACAAGAAGCUAGAGAUAAGAAGUAAGACUAGUUAGAGGAGUUCUGAGGUGUGGAAUAAGUGAAUGUGCCUCCUGUGACAGCACCGGAGAUCUCAUCACCCUUGUUGGAUGCAAGCCGUGGGAUAGAUAAACAACCCAAAAAACCACAGAACUGAAACCUUGAUAUGCGGGACAGGAGUUCAGGGGCACAGCUGGAGCACCGAAGCAGGAGAGCGUGCUUAUCUAUGUUUAUACCAUAUAUGGAGCUAAUGUGAUAGAACAUAUUCAGAGGCGGAGAGAAGGGAAAAAUACUAGCUCAGGAAGCAGACUAUAUUAAGGCUGAUCUCUUGCUAAUAAAUGGCUUUGCUUGUCCAUGAAUACGGAGUCCAUGUUGUGAAUUACCACAAAUGGUGCCCCAUGUGAGGAGCGACAAAUCAACCUAAGAAGGUGAACCAGUGGCGAGCCCCACAGGACUGAAGUGCUGCCGAAAGGAAGCAGGAGCCGGCUGCAAUCCCUCAUCGACUGAGUGAUAUCAUAGUAGAAACCUCCCAAUCCAUGGAAGAUGAACUUUGAUGAAACAAGCAAAGUGCAACAGCGAUGCAACGAAGACUGACUUGGUAUGCAGCAACCCAAUGCCACACACACACCAUCUCUCCCGCCCUGAAAGACUAAUACGACAGAUGGAGCCCAGAG